GUGAAUAUAGGACGUCCAACUUAACUUGGAGUCCGAACUCUCACUUUCUAACCCUGUGCACUUGUUUGGGAUAGUAACUCUCGCAAGAGAGCGAACUCCUAUUCACUUAUAAACACAAAGUCUAUGAAUGUAUUAAAUUUUAUAACAAAAU
This 151-nucleotide unclassified non-coding RNA is filed under the name Rhodotorula mucilaginosa. RNAcentral's name for it is "ITS 1". Lineage: Eukaryota; Fungi; Basidiomycota; Microbotryomycetes; Sporidiobolales; Sporidiobolaceae. The record is from RNAcentral.